CGGCGUGCCUAACACAUGCAAGUCGUACGAGAAAGUUGGCUUCGGCCGAUGAGUAAAGUGGCGCACGGGUGAGUAAUAGCGUGGAUAAUCUGCCCUUUAGUUGGGAAUAACGUACCGAAAGGUGCGCUAAUACCUGAUAAUACUGCAUAACUACUGUUGUGUAGUCAAAGAAGGCCUCUGUUUACAAGCUUUUGCUGAAGGAUGAGUCCGCGUACCAUUAGCUGGUUGGUGGGGUAAUGGCCUACCAAGGCUACGAUGGUUAGCUGGUCUGAGAGGAUGAUCAGCCACACUGGAACUGAGACACGGUCCAGACUCCUACGGGAGGCAGCAGUGAGGAAUAUUGCGCAAUGGGGGCAACCCUGACGCAGCAACGCCGCGUGAGUGAGGAAGGUUUUCGGACCGUAAAGCUCUGUCGAGCGGGAAGAAAUGUAUCAUGGCUAAUAUCCAUGAUACUUGACGGUACCGCUAAAGGAAGCACCGGCUAACUCCGUG
This 492-nucleotide ribosomal RNA is filed under the name uncultured bacterium. RNAcentral describes it as "bacterial SSU rRNA". It matches the Rfam family "Bacterial small subunit ribosomal RNA", at positions 40 to 507 of the family's 1533-position model. The record is from RNAcentral.